GACGAACGCUGGCGGCGUGCUUAACACAUGCAAGUCGAACGGAAAGGCCUGCUUUCCCUUGUGGAUUGCGGGUACUCGAGUGGCGAACGGGUGAGUAACACGUGAGUGAUCUGCCCCCAACUUGGGUAUAAGCCUGGGAAACUGGGUCUAAUUCCCGAUAGGACUGCAGGGUGGUGCCUGUGGUGGAAAACGAUUUUCUAGUGGUUGGGGAUGAGCUCGCGGCCUAUCAGCUUGUUGGUGGGGUAAUGGCCUACCAAGGCGGCGACGGGUAGCCGGCCUGAGGGGGUGGACGGGCACAUUGGGACUGAGCUACGGCCCAGACUCCUACGGGAGGCAGCAGUGGGGAAUAUUGGACAAUGGGCGGAAGCCUGAUGCAGCGACGCCGCGUGGGGGAUGACGGCCUUCGGGUGGUAAACUCCUUUCGACCGCGAGGAAGCCACCUGGUUGGAAGGGUGGUGACGGUAGUGGUAGAAGAAGCACCGGCUAACUACGUG
RNAcentral lists this ribosomal RNA (494 nucleotides) under uncultured bacterium. RNAcentral describes it as "partial 16S ribosomal RNA". It matches the Rfam family "Bacterial small subunit ribosomal RNA", at positions 28 to 507 of the family's 1533-position model. The record is from RNAcentral.